UACAGAGGUCUCAAGCGUUGUUCGGAUUCAUUGGGCGUAAAGGGUGCGUAGGUGGCGGGGUAAGUUGGAUGUGAAAUCCCGGGGCUCAACCCCGGAACUGCAUUCAAUACUGCCUUGCUAGAGUACUGGAGAGGAGAUUGGAAUUUACGGUGUAGCAGUGAAAUGCGUAGAUAUCGUAAGGAAGACCAGUGGCGAAGGCGGAUCUCUGGACAGUUACUGACACUGAGGCACGAAGGCCAGGGGAGCAAACGGG
This 253-nucleotide ribosomal RNA is filed under the name uncultured bacterium. RNAcentral describes it as "partial 16S ribosomal RNA". It matches the Rfam family "Bacterial small subunit ribosomal RNA", at positions 524 to 776 of the family's 1533-position model. The record is from RNAcentral.